CAGCCCCUCUCUGGAAUUAUGCAACUGGCUCUGUGCAGAUGAGGGCUCCACAGGAAAAGUUAGUUUACUAAAAUCUCUGUAAAAUGUUGGGGUAUAAGAAGCAAUGAUUUGCUCCCCUCUACCACAGUAUAAUGAUGUAUUCUCCCAAAUUGUACCCCAGAACAUCCACAGCUCUGGUACGUUGGGACCUUCUCAACAACAGUGUUAGUGUCAGUGGAGGGACUUCAGUGCUCAGUGGGAGACAGCAGCAGGAGCCAGAGGAGGCAGCGGGACUUGCUCAGCAGACGCAAACAUACUCAGAAGGAGGGGAAGUCACAUUCAGCAAACGCUUCUGGGCCCUAAGGCAGCUGAGGUACCUAAAGAACACAGCAUCGUAGCCCAGCAUUCUACAUCAUCUCUGGGAGCUGUUAGUUCCUAUUGAGGAGGGGAGACAAGAAAGGCUUAAAGAUGAGAUGGAUACGAGAAUCAUUUCUUUUGCUUAAUGGUGUGGAUCCAAUCACUACUCUAAAAGAAUAGCUUCGCCCAGAAUUCUCAUUUCACUAAAAGUAUUUGAAUACGAU
RNAcentral lists this long non-coding RNA (560 nucleotides) under Equus caballus (horse). RNAcentral describes it as "lncRNA (ENSECAG00000058718.1)". Lineage: Eukaryota; Metazoa; Chordata; Mammalia; Perissodactyla; Equidae. The record is from RNAcentral.